Molecule: ribosomal RNA, 492 nt
Filed under: uncultured bacterium
Lineage: Bacteria
Description: partial 16S ribosomal RNA
Rfam family: Bacterial small subunit ribosomal RNA
Source: RNAcentral
AGUGAACGCUGGCGGUAGGCCUAACACAUGCAAGUCGAACGGCAGCACAGUAAGAGCUUGCUCUUACGGGUGGCGAGUGGCGGACGGGUGAGGAAUACAUCGGAAUCUACUUUUUCGUGGGGGAUAACGUAGGGAAACUUACGCUAAUACCGCAUACGACCUACGGGUGAAAGCAGGGGAUCUUCGGACCUUGCGCGAUUGAAUGAGCCGAUGUCGGAUUAGCUAGUUGGCGGGGUAAAGGCCCACCAAGGCGACGAUCCGUAGCUGGUCUGAGAGGAUGAUCAGCCACACUGGAACUGAGACACGGUCCAGACUCCUACGGGAGGCAGCAGCGGGGAAUAUUGGACAAUGGGCGCAAGCCUGAUCCAGCCAUACCGCGUGGGUGAAGAAGGCCUUCGGGUUGUAAAGCCCUUUUGUUGGGAAAGAAAAGCAGCAGGUUAAUACCCCGCUGUUCUGACAGUACCCAAAGAAUAAGCACCGGCUAACUUCGUG